AUUGAACGCUGGCGGCAGGCCUAACACAUGUAAGUCGAGCGGUAGAGAGGUGCUUGCACCUCUUGAGAGCGGCGGACGGGUGAGUAAUGCCUAGGAAUCUGCCUGGUAGUGGGGGAUAACGCUCGGAAACGGACGCUAAUACCGCAUACGUCCUACGGGAGAAAGCAGGGGACCUUCGGGCCUUGCGCUAGCAGAUGAGCCUAGGUCGGAUUAGCUAGUUGGUGAGGUAAUGGCUCACCAAGGCGACGAUCCGUAACUGGUCUGAGAGGAUGAUCAGUCACACUGGAACUGAGACACGGUCCAGACUCCUACGGGAGGCAGCAGUGGGGAAUAUUGGACAAUGGGCGAAAGCCUGAUCCAGCCAUGCCGCGUGUGUGAAGAAGGUCUUCGGAUUGUAAAGCACUUUAAGUUGGGAGGAAGGGUCGUUACCUAAUAUGUGACGAUUUUGACGUUACCGACAGAAUAAGCACCGGCUAACUCUGUGCCAGCAGCCGCGGUAA
RNAcentral lists this ribosomal RNA (500 nucleotides) under uncultured bacterium. Its description in RNAcentral is "partial 16S ribosomal RNA". It matches the Rfam family "Bacterial small subunit ribosomal RNA", at positions 30 to 523 of the family's 1533-position model. The record is from RNAcentral.